GUGGGGAAUUUUGGACAAUGGGCGCAAGCCUGAUCCAGCAAUGCCGCGUGCAGGAAGAAGGCCUUCGGGUUGUAAACUGCUUUUGUACGGAACGAAACGGUCCGGGUUAAUACCCUGGGCUAAUGACGGUACCGUAAGAAUAAGCACCGGCUAACUACGUGCCAGCAGCCGCGGUAAUACGUAGGGUGCAAGCGUUAAUCGGAAUUACUGGGCGUAAAGCGUGCGCAGGCGGUUUUGUAAGACAGGCGUGAAAUCACCGGGCUCAACCUGGGAAUUGCGCUUGUGACUGCAAGGCUGGAGUGCGGCAGAGGGGGAUGGAAUUCCGCGUGUAGCAGUGAAAUGCGUAGAUAUGCGGAGGAACACCGAUGGCGAAGGCAAUCCCCUGGGCCUGCACUGACGCUCAUGCACGAAAGCGUGGGGAGCAAACAGGAUUAGAAACCCUGGUAGUCC
Molecule: ribosomal RNA, 450 nt
Filed under: uncultured bacterium
Lineage: Bacteria
Description: bacterial SSU rRNA
Rfam family: Bacterial small subunit ribosomal RNA
Source: RNAcentral